Molecule: small nuclear RNA, 157 nt
Organism: Hippoglossus stenolepis (Pacific halibut)
Lineage: Eukaryota; Metazoa; Chordata; Actinopteri; Pleuronectiformes; Pleuronectidae
Product: U1 spliceosomal RNA
Exons: 1
Source: RefSeq, a predicted model, not a curated record
AUACUACCUGGCAGGGAGAUACCAUGAUCAUGAAGGUGGUUCACCCAGAGCGAGGCUCAGCCAUUACACCGGUUGAUGAUAACCCGAAUUCCCCAAAUUUAGGAAUCUCGACUGCAUAAUUUGUGUGGUAGUGGGACUGCGUCCGCGCUCUCCUGAU